UUGCUUUUGGGUCUGGUUUCAAGUGUAACAGUGCGGUGUGGAGGGCGCUCAAGACUGUGAAUCCUUUGAAGGAGAAGAAUCCGUGGAUGGACGAGAUCGAUAACUUCCCGGUCGAUGUUCCGAGGGUGUCUGCAAUCUGAUCAAUCUUUGAGGUAAGCAAAUUCACUGAGUUGAUUGAAGACUUGUGGUGAUUUAUUAGGUUUGUUAUGUUUUUACUCUUAUCAUUUGUUGGAGGGAAAUUGUG
Molecule: unclassified non-coding RNA, 244 nt
Filed under: Hevea brasiliensis (rubber tree)
Lineage: Eukaryota; Viridiplantae; Streptophyta; Magnoliopsida; Malpighiales; Euphorbiaceae
Source: RNAcentral